UGUCGUCAGCUCGUGUUGUGAAAUGUUGGGUUAAGUCCCGCAACGAGCGCAACCCUUAUCCUUUGUUGCCAGCGGUCCGGCCGGGAACUCAAAGGAGACUGCCAGUGAUAAACUGGAGGAAGGUGGGGAUGACGUCAAGUCAUCAUGGCCCUUACGACCAGGGCUACACACGUGCUACAAUGGCGCAUACAAAGAGAAGCGACCUCGCGAGAGCAAGCGGACCUCAUAAAGUGC
Molecule: ribosomal RNA, 234 nt
Filed under: Escherichia coli
Lineage: Bacteria; Pseudomonadati; Pseudomonadota; Gammaproteobacteria; Enterobacterales; Enterobacteriaceae
Also listed under: 1 other name
Description: partial 16S ribosomal RNA
Rfam family: Bacterial small subunit ribosomal RNA
Source: RNAcentral